UUGGCAGGGAUUCACAAUUAAAAAGACUGCCUUGAUACAGAGAUUAGCAUGGCCCCUGAGCAAGGAAAACUCACAGGUUUGUGGAACGUUCCAUACUUUG
RNAcentral lists this small nuclear RNA (100 nucleotides) under Meriones unguiculatus (Mongolian gerbil). Lineage: Eukaryota; Metazoa; Chordata; Mammalia; Rodentia; Muridae. The record is from RNAcentral.